UGGGGAAUAUUGCACAAUGGGCGCAAGCCUGAUGCAGCCAUGCCGCGUGUGUGAAGAAGGCCUUCGGGUUGUAAAGCACUUUCAGCGAGGAGGAAGGUGGUGAACUUAAUACGUUCAUCAAUUGACGUUACUCGCAGAAGAAGCACCGGCUAACUCCGUGCCAGCAGCCGCGGUAAUACGGAGGGUGCAAGCGUUAAUCGGAAUUACUGGGCGUAAAGCGCACGCAGGCGGUUUGUUAAGUCAGAUGUGAAAUCCCCCGGGCUCAACCUGGGAACUGCAUUUGAAACUGGCAAGCUAGAGUCUCGUAGAGGGGGGUAGAAUUCCAGGUGUAGCGGUGAAAUGCGUAGAGAUCUGGAGGAAUACCGGUGGCGAAGGCGGCCCCCCUGGACGAAGACUGACGCUCAGGUGCGAAAAGCGUGGGGAGCAAACAGGAUUAGAUACCCCUGGUAGUCCACGCUGUAAAACGAUGUCGAUUUUGGAGGUUGUGCCCUUGAGGCGUGG
RNAcentral lists this ribosomal RNA (501 nucleotides) under uncultured bacterium. RNAcentral describes it as "partial 16S ribosomal RNA". It matches the Rfam family "Bacterial small subunit ribosomal RNA", at positions 355 to 842 of the family's 1533-position model. The record is from RNAcentral.